RNAcentral lists this ribosomal RNA (367 nucleotides) under uncultured bacterium. RNAcentral describes it as "bacterial SSU rRNA". It matches the Rfam family "Bacterial small subunit ribosomal RNA", at positions 32 to 391 of the family's 1533-position model. The record is from RNAcentral.
AAUCAACGCUGGCGGCGUGCCUCAGACAUGCAAGUCGAACGAUUAAAGCUCUCUUCGGAGAGUGCAUAGAGUGGCGCACGGGUGAGUAACACGUAAGUAAUCUACCUUCGAGUGGGGAAUAACGUCCGGAAACGGACGCUAAUACCGCAUAAUGCAGCGGCAUCGCAAGAUGACAGUUGUUAAAGAUUUAUCGCUUGAAGAGGAGCUUGCGGCAGAUUAGCUAGUUGGUAAGGUAAUGGCUUACCAAGGCUACGAUCUGUAACCGGUCUAAGAGGACGGUCGGUCACACUGACACUGAAUAACGGGUCAGACUCCUACGGGAGGCAGCAGUCGGGAAUUUUGGGCAAUGGGCGAAAGCCUGACCCAG